GCCCAGGUUGCCUAGUGGUUAGAGCGUCCGUCUCGGAUGCGAGAGAUUGUGGGUUCGAUCCCCGGCUGAGUCA
This is a non-coding RNA of Potamilus streckersoni, 73 nucleotides long. NCBI's taxonomy places the organism in Eukaryota, Metazoa, Mollusca, Bivalvia, Unionida, Unionidae. The record is from the annotation of a GenBank genome assembly.